UGAACGCUGGCGGCGUGCCUAAUACAUGCAAGUCGAGCGAACAGACGAGGAGCUUGCUCCUCUGACGUUAGUGGCGGACGGGUGAGUAACACGUGGAUAACCUACCUAUAAGACUGGGAUAACUUCGGGAAACCGGAGCUAAUACCGGAUAACAUGUUGAACCGCAUGGUUCAACAGUGAAAGACGGUCUUGCUGUCACUUAUAGAUGGAUCCGCGCCGCAUUAGCUAGUUGGUAAGGUAACGGCUUACCAAGGCAACGAUGCGUAGCCGACCUGAGAGGGUGAUCGGCCACACUGGAACUGAGACACGGUCCAGACUCCUACGGGAGGCAGCAGUAGGGAAUCUUCCGCAAUGGGCGAAAGCCUGACGGAGCAACGCCGCGUGAGUGAAGAAGGUCUUCGGAUCGUAAAACUCUGUUAUUAGGGAAGAACAAAUGUGUAAGUAACUAUGCACGUCUUGACGGUACCUAAUCAGAAAGCCACGGCUAACUACGUG
Molecule: ribosomal RNA, 495 nt
Filed under: uncultured bacterium
Lineage: Bacteria
Description: partial 16S ribosomal RNA
Rfam family: Bacterial small subunit ribosomal RNA
Source: RNAcentral